CAAUUGUUAUGUUCUUAGGAAUCCUGAUUACUGGAGAGGAAAGAUUGUUAGGGUGAAAGCCCUAUGCACUUUUAAAGCAGCUCUGUGUUAUUAAAAGUAAACAAGUUUGAAGAAUUAACCUUUUACUAAUGAUCAGCAUACCCUCUCCAUUUUUGUCUUCAGUAGACCAACUGAUGAUAGAUCUGAUAUUUUAAUUUUUUGUAAUGCAGAGAGGAGACAAUUACAACAAAGUUGUAUUUUAACCAAAAAACUUGAUAAAGCCAUCCUUUUUUCAAUUUUAGAUCAUGUUUACUGAAGCAUGUUUCUCCAGAUUGCUCUACAUAAAGUCCUUUCUAAUAUUAUGAUUGAUGCCUGUAAAUACACAGGCAGUGAGAUGGCAAUCACCAAAGAGGGAGAAGAACUAUCAAUAAAUUUAAGGCUGAAAUUUAGAACAUUUCUAAUGAUCAGAAAAAUCAGGUUCUAAAAUAGUUUUUCAGCAGAAGUCUUGGUGGGAUGAUCUUUCACUACAGAGAUGAGAUAUGUGAUUUCUAGCUCUGUCAGCUUAAUCACAAGACUGUAGCACAGCCUGCAGUCUUUAUUUCUUGUGAAGAACCAAAAAAUAAAAACCCCAAUCCUGAAUUCCACAGUCUAAGCAUCCUACUGUCCAUGUGGGACAUAUCUGCAUUUCUAAUUUAGAGAUUAAAAAGAAAAAAAUCCACAUUCUUCACUAUACCUUGUCUGUGCAGACAGCGAGCUCUUACUGAGCUGUGGAGUUAUUUAACAUAACUUUUGUGGUAGUUGUAGGCAUGACUGUUUUUCUGCUGGAGGGCACUACCAUCAGAGUAGAGCUGGCAGAAAAGCUCAUACAAGUGUUUCUUAUUUUCUUCCGCAAAAGGUCAGCCAAGGUUAGCUCAAAAUACAUUGAACAAUAGGUUAAACUAUGCCAUCUGACUUUGUGCAGAAGUAGAUUAUGAAUGCCCACAAAGGCCAUUCCACAAUUGAGCUCCAGAGGCAAGUAAACUCGGGAAGAGAGGACACCAACAGUUUCUGCCAUUUCUGUGGUGACUGACACAGCUCAGUAUCUGUAUCCAUGCAACCAGUUAUUUCUGCUUCAGUCUGAAUUACAGUCUCCUUGCAGAGAGAACUGUUGAAAUAUUAGGCUUGUAACAUUUCUGGACAGGUUGAAAAUGCUGUGCUUCCAGAUAUAUGCAUUCUGAGAUGCUGUCCUGUGGUGCACCGAGAAAUGCCUCAUACCUGGAAGGAAGAAAUCAAUGGGCAACACAGACUUGUGCUUGCUUCCAUGCUGCCCUGAUGUCCAUUUCUUCUUGGCCUAUUUGGGUGGUUCUGUAUCACACUGCUGGUCCUUGCAAGUGCUGAAAUGGGUGUUUUGACACCUGGACCAAUGAAUGUCAAUAAAUCUUUUCCGGAGCAAAAAGUAAGAAACACAUACCAAAUGAUAGCAUCUGCUUUCCAGCAGUGAGUGACUUAUGAACUUCCUAAACCACUUGUUCUUCCUGGGAGAAGAACAUCCCAACUUCUGUGUUUAUUUAAUGCACAUGAACUUUUAUUUUGUGUUGAUAUUCUGGGAUGUUUUUGCACCUUGUUUUAAAUCUACUUAUGCUUUUGACCUCCAUAAUGUCUCAUGGCAAUGAGUUCCACAAUUUAUUUAUACAUUAAAGGAGGGACUGGUUUGCAGGACUUGCAAUGCACUGCAGCUACAUAUUCCUCAAAGCCUGUUUGCCAUUUUAGUGCCCUCGUUGCAAAGUUCCAGCCUACAGGGACACACAGAGAAAGUAGAAAUGGAAAAGAUCUAUUGUGUCAGAGUGUUAGCUCCAGCCUUAAUAUAAAAUGUUUCAGUCACAGCUUGACAUAAUAACAUCAAUGUACUUAAAAGAUACAGCAGGUCUCAGAACAGUCUGCAGGGUGUGAAAACAAAGAUUUCUACAGCCCCCAGGGUGUUUUUCCUCAACAGAAUGAACAGGGGAGGAUUCAUGCUAGAGCUACUGUGAACAUCUCUAUUGGAAUAGUUGAUAUUUUGAGUAGGUUUGUCAUUUUCCUGACCAUUGUAGUUCUAAAGAUAUUUCCUGUCCUUCUUCAACUGUUGCUAGACUAACACUGUGUGCAUUUCCUUGUAUAGGUAUUACAGAGAUUACAUUGUUUUAUUAACGAACCACAGUUUGUAAGAAUCUUCAUGAGGAAUACAGUUGGUUUUCCAUACCAUAAACACUGGUUAAAGAAGAAACAACAAAUUGGUGACAGUUUGCCAUAGUGAGUCAGUCUAGAAAUAAAGGUCAGUCUUGAAACAUUAAGGUAAUAACUCACUGUGGCAAUUUUCUAAGGAUUAUGCAGUAUCAUUUCUCACUGGAAAUUACUUGAUCAAUAGUGGAUUCCCUAUUUUUCCCCUAAGCUUCUUCUGUAUUUCAAAGAAAUGGAAAAUUAAGGAAGCAUUACAUCACUUUAUUUUAGAUCACAUUAGGGUAUCACAGUGGUCAUGUCUAAUAUUAUAUAAAUUAUGAAAUAAGAACAAAAGAAGAAUUCAGAAUAACCGUAAAUGAUUGAAAACCACAAUUUCCUCUGGAAUAAUUCAGAAUAAAUAAAGACCAGCUAGUUUAAACAAAAAUUCCUCCAGUAACUUACUGAGGGCUUUUCCUAACAAACAACAACAUCAACACUGCAGAUUUAUAUAUGUUUAUUUAGUGGCAAUUCAAAGUGGUAUACAGAUGAUUUAUGGGAAUUUUUCAUGCAUCUCUAAAAAGCAAUCUUUUCUUGAGUAGAAAAAUUGUAAUUAUCAACAACAAUACACUGCAUUCUGGAUCAGCAGUGUGAUUUCUGGAUAUCUGGAUAAUUCAAUCUGUAGGCAAAAUAUAUGAGCUGCUGUUCAUUUUCCUCUUCUCAGAAAAUAAUAAGAAACAAAUGCUGAAUAAAAUCCCUGUGUGCUAAAAACAUUCCUCCAAAUCAAUCCUCAAUAUUUGAUUGAGAUAUCAUAGAUUUGACAUUAACACAGAUAUUUUUUUCUCAAAAACUAUAUUGUGGUUUUUUUUACUCAGGAAAUUUUAAAUCUUUCAGUCCUGUUAUUGGAUGAAAAGUUUUAUUUCCAUCCUUUUUAAAUGGAAAUUUCUAAGCUUUGUGAUUGUAGAGAAAAUAUUAUAGAACUGCAGCAAAGGUUCAGUAACUGUAAACCAAAUAAACCCCAGGAACCCCAUACUUCUUUUAAAAUUCUUUGAUGCUUGAGGGCAGUAAUACAAUUCUUGACAACUGGGACAAAAGACUUUAUCAUGCUCGGGACUGAACAAUAUUGUAAUUCCUACUUCUUUGUAGCCAUUUGUUGUUGUGAGAAAUAACUUAGAUGGUUUUAUAGCCUCACUUUGCAUUCCAACAAACUCAUACAGAUUAAGUGACUCCAAAGUUAAGAUGUUACUUAUUUUCAAAUGUAUGUCUUUUGUUCCAAAGCGCCCUCAAUUAAUGGAAACAUUCAGUGGUGUGCUGAACAAAGAUACAAAGCUUUUGUAACAGAUGUAAUUUUGAAAAAUUCAGUAAUUCAUCAAAUCACCUUCCUGAGUUUAUUUUACCUAGAUAGAAAUGUCAUACACAUUUUAAUUAGCACAGUAUAUACUACUGCUAGGUUUUAAACCAGGUACAGAUAUUUAAUAUCUGAUAAUGUAUGUAGCAAGAACAAUAAAUUGGCAGUUUUUAGUUAGCUGAAUACAAAAUUGGCAAAAUUUGAUAGACGGCAGUUACAUAAAAGGAGUCCAUUCCAUAUAACCAGAUCUCAAAACUCAUCAUAGGCAUUUUAUAUACUUUUAACCAUUAUAAGUGGCUCUGAUUUAUAUAUGUUUCUAUCUGAAGCAAGGCUUCCAGACUGCACAUGCAUGAAAUGUACCUUCCAGGCAUGUGGGGACUGUGGAGCAAGUAAGAUACAAGCAGCUCCACAAUUGUGCAUGGAUUUUGAGGGGAAAAAUGGAUGCCUACAAUAAGUUUUCGAAGUCUAGUUCCAUUUUUUUUUUUUUUUUGGAUGCUCAAUAUUAAUUUUCAGUGUAAUUCUGUUCCAGGUGUUUGUGUUCUACAAAAGGUUUUUGUUUCUAAGUACAUGUUCUGCUCUGGUAAUUAUCCCCCCUGCACUGUAAUUCAAGCCUGAAAGUUGAUUUAUUCUCCAUGUGUUCUUUGUACAAUUAAAUGUGUCGCCUUUAUAACUGACUUACAUCUGACAAAGCUGAUCUAAACAGUUGCAGAAAUGUCUCAUUGCCUUCGCAGUUAUGAGCCCAAUUAACUUGUCAACAUUUUCCAAUGGUUAUUUACUACAGAUUUACCACAGCUGUAAUCAGCUACAGAGGCAGGAGAAAGAAGGACAAUUGGAGUAGGGAGUGUCCUUCCUUGCAGUUUUCUAGGUACCAGUGGAGCCUCAUUACACAAGUAUUUUAGGAUGUGUAGGAGUAAAAAUGAUGAUGGGUCAGAAAAUUACAAAGAGGUUUGUUCAGUGAUUAUGAUCUGACUCUGAAGCCUACUGAAAUUAGUUUUUGUAUGAAUAAUUAUUUCAUUCUUGGUUGUUUCUACAGCCACAUUUGAAAAUUAUAUUAUCCAUCUGUUUUAGAAUACUUCAGAUGUCAUUGGCAUUUUCUACCUAAAGACCAGCUUCUGCUAUCUUCAUAUCUCAGAAUACCAUAGCUGCAUGGAAAAUGUGAAACCAGAAGAAAAUGAGAACAUAAGCUAUUGUUCUGAUAGCAUUAGUCCCUUUCAUCAUUUGCUUUUUGCAUGUAUGCAGUAUCAUCCAAACUAAAUUACUGCAGAACCUCUUAGGGAAGUACCACAAUUAAAGUUGUGUGAUUUAAAUAUGGCUAGAGACAGCAAGGCACCUUGCUAGAGAGCAGAUCAGUGCACAUUGCACUUUCUCGAGCUGUUGAAAAGUGCCAAGAUCAGAAGCUGUUGAUCUAGCCUGACACCUUUACAAUAAAUACUGUGUUCAAAACACCUUCAUUCUUUUAUGAGACUACAAGCAACUAUUCCCUUUGAGAGAGCUCUGCUCUCACACUGCAGAUCUGUUUUCUUCAGUGCAACAUCAGAGCAGCAGAGCAUUCCCUCCUGACAGGGGACAGGAGCAGCAGCAGCACUGGAGCUGCCAGAGGUUCCCAGCAGCCUUCUCCAGCUCUUAGGUCCGUCACUGCCCACUUGGUGGUGCCAUGUGGAUUGGGAAACACAUUUGCUGCCAGGGUUCAUCAAAACCUGUGAUGUUCACAAGGUUUGGCACUCUUUGAAAAAAGGCAUCUCUGUGAGUGUGGUUAUUUUCAAACCCUACUGGGGUGAGAGGCGAUGCUUUGCAUCUGAGAAAGUAUUUAUUGUGUUCAAACACAAAAUUAUGUUGAUCUGUCCAUAGAUAGCUCAAGUUGUAAUUCUGGUUUUAAGAUAAUUCGAGUUGUAAUUUUGGUUUUAAAAUACCUAGGACUUACAUGUAGUGAGUAUAAAGUUAAAGUUGUUUCUUUUCCAAGAGGGCGCUGUGGCUGAAUGGAAACCAUGGUAACUAAGGUGGCAUAAUGCCAGUACCUUGCUCCUGAGUGAUAAAAUGCAUGUAGAGUAGGUUUUGUGCUUAGCAACAAAAAGGUUGGGUUUUCAAAUAGCUCCCUCUAGCCCUCCAUUACAGGUGCCACCCUUUUCCUAUGCAGUAUGUAUCCCAGACUUCAUACUUUCAUGUUCAUUAAUCCUUUAGGCAUUCAAUAAACAGCAGAAAAUACAUUUCACACAAAAGAAAGUAAUUUAAUUGUUUUGGCCAUUGCUUUAGAAAAAUACACAACUCAGAUCUCUUCCCUGUAGAACUGUUGUGGAAUAUGACUCAUCCUUGCCCAACAUGCUGGAUGUUCACUUUAAUUAGAAUGUGUGCAUCUAAAGAUUGUUGUAAACAUUUGCUGUUAAUAGCAUAUUACUCCCUGUUUUACAAUGGGAAAUAUAAGCAAUCCUAAUAUAUUUAAUACAUUAAGCUGCACAUUUUAAGUCAUGUUAGGGUUGCACAUUAAUAGAAAUUAAUUAGGGAAAUUCUCUAAUUAGCGUAUGUUGGCUGCCUUACAAAUCACAUUGGCAUGAAUAAUUGGAAUAAUGCAAAUUUUACUCUACAGUGAUGCUUAAAUAUUUUCUAAACACUAAAUAUUGUUACAGAAAUCUUUGCUAUCUACCUAUGUGGUCAAUCUGGAUGGAGAUCCAGUUUAUUUAUAAUAAUGAAUGAAAAGACAUGAAGUGUUGCUACUUUCUCGUUGGUGAUGGUACAUGUGAAAUGGCUAACCUUUAUAGAAUCACAGAAUAGUUUGGUUUGGAAGGGACCUUUAAAUGCCAUUUAGUCCAACCCCUCCACAAUGAGCAGGGACACCUUCAACUAGAUCCAGUUGCUCAGAGCCCCAUCCAACUUGAUCUUCAGUGUUUCCAGGGAUGUGGCAGCCACUACCUCUCUGAGCAACUUGUUCCAGGGUUUCACCACCCAUGUCAUAAAAAAAAAAAAUAUUCCUUAUAUCUAGUCUACACUAAUCCUCUUUUAAAGCCAUUCCCUCUUGUUUUAUCACUAUCUGCCUGUGUAAAAAGUCUGUCCCUUUCUUUCUUACAGGCUCUCUUUAAGUACCAAAAGGCACCUAUAAGAUUUGCCCAGAGCCCUCUCCAUGCCUCUCCAACCCCAACUCUCUCAGCACUUACUCAGUAGGAUAGGUGCUCCAGCCCUCUGAUCAUCUUCAUGGUCCUUCUCUGGACCCAUUCUAACAGGUCUUUGUCCUUCCUCUGCUGAGGACCCCAGGCUGGAUGCAGUACUCCAUGUAGGGUCUCACUAGAUUGGAGUAGAGGAGUCCUCCCUUGACUUGCUGGCCACACUUCUUUUUUAUUUCACAUACACUAUUUUCCUCAGUGCAGGCAGGUGAAAUGCCUUUAUAUUUAGCUGGGAUCUAACCAACCCACACCCCAGUGCCAGCAUAUGACACAGCACAAACUGAUGAUCCAGAGAUUUUACAAUCUCUCUUGGGGGAUUGUAAUAAAGAACAGGAAUAUUAUGUCUUUCCAAAUGUGGCUCAGCAUACUUGAGUAAGCUUGACUGCUCUCAAAAUCUAAUAGAAGAGUGAUGAUACCAUGUGGUUUUGUGUGUAUGUCUUUCUCUGUUGUGCAGAAAUGAAUCAUAUUUGUCUGUAAGCAACAUACCUUUUUUCUCUUUUUCAAGUUCACUGACAUUUACUGACUCAGGAUGUACCGUAUUUCAUAACCAUGAUGCUGUAUCACCAUGUGUUAAAAGGAAGGCUCUAAGGUGUUAGACUAACUGACUUUAUUAGCAUCAUCUGUACUUUAACAGUGUUCUCACAUGGUCAGAUCGAUAGCACAUGAUUUAAACAUUAUCGUGCCUUUUACUGCUCAGGAAUCUUCACAGGGUGCCACUUCACACUUUCACAGAAGACUAUAUUUCAAUGUUUUUAUCUGUCAGCCAGAAAAAUCCCUGAACAGCAGAAUCUGAACUAAUCUUAUGUCUUGAGAAGUUUAUAGACACUUUAGUGUUAAUCUGAAGACCUAAUUGUACAUAUUUUUGAUCACAUCAUAAUUUCUUUUGGUGGAAACUUGACCAUUUAUGUAAAUGAUGCUCAUAUUUAAGCUGCACAAUGAAGACAUAAGAGUCUAGCUCAUUCCAUUCACUUGAUGAGGAUAAUGGUGCACCCCUGCACUGGGACAGGCUGGACUUCACCAAUUCUCCCACAGUUCUUUUGUGGCAGAUGAGGUGGUAGAGUUAGCUCCCAGUAGAAGCAGGAAUUGGAAGGAUGACAUUUCAGCAAAGGAGUAAAGCACAGAUGGAUUAAACCAAGUUUCUUUCAGAAGUAUUGAGCAGCAAAGACAGAGGAAGCAGUUCAUUUUUCACGAAGUAUGUUCUAAGUUGCAGCAAAUUCAAGAGGACUUGAGCAUGUUUGAUAAUACAAGUAAGCAGAAUAUAUGGUGGCUCCAACCAAAGGAUAGCCACUGAUGCUGACAAUGGCAGUUAUAACCAGCUCUGCACUCCCAGUGGACCUAGGUUACCAGUGCUGUCUGUCGUCCUUUCUCCAGACCCCAGUCCUGUGUACAAAGAGCUUCCAGUGGUGACUUUACACUCAGGCUUCCAGUUCCAGCAGCCCUGGCAAGACUGACUCUGGCUUUCACCAGCACCAUAUGUGGCUUAUCAGCAGUGGGAUUCCUCAGUCCUUGUGUGAUCCCAGCUUCCAGGUGUGAGUGCCACUGAAUGACUUUUGAAAAAGUAGAGAUUCAUGCAACUGCACCAUCACUUCCCUCAGCUUACUAAAAAACAGUGGCCUCAUGCUUAAAAGACAUCAUACAUUUUUUAUUGCAAGGAUGCAAGGAAUCCUUACAGGAGAUACCCCUCCAGGGUAAUGCAGCACUACUCUCAGGAGCCAAAACAUCUCACCUAAAAACAGCUUCUGCAGUUGAUGUAACCCACACUGAAAGGAGAUUUUGCACAAUAGUCACAAAAUAAUCAGCCUGGCAGACUUAUUUUUUCAAUUCUUUUCCUGUUUGUAGACAUCAAACCCCACUCCACCUGCAGAGGCACAAAAGCACCACAGUGCUCUCCCUCCAGCAUGAUACAGAUGUGUUUCUGUUACUUACCACCGCUGCUUAGACUGCAUCUAAGUCUCUCUUUCAGACCAAGAAAACGAAUGUUGUUUCUAAAAUAAUUUAAUCCAUGGGAUUUGUGGCUUUUUUCAGGAGAAAAUACUUGGCUCUGGUAACAACAUAGCAGUACUUAAAUUGUGAAAGGGUAACAGAAUUCAUUAGACUUGUAGAUUGCUGGAAACAGAUUUAAUAACAGACACAACAGGGUGUUUUGAUUGCUAAUAGCACAUCAGUUGGUGCACAACUUGCUACAGUCUCAGGUACCAAAAUCUGUUUGCAACCUGAAGCUCACUUGCUCUGGUCAUGCCUGCCCUGUCAGUUAAACACUGUCAUCAUCUGAUUAAGAGCCAGGAAACUCCUGUAUAGAAAGAGGCUUCAGAAAGAACUGUGAAAUGUGAAGCUUCAUGCAAUCUCAAACAUGCAAGCAUGAUGCUCACAUGUAACAAAGUGAGACAGCCACCUUUUUUAACUUUUGCAUUUCGAUCCUGUUAUAUGACUACUUGAGCUUUGAUCUGAUGUUCCAAUACAGAAAUAAGACAUUCCAUUUUGUAAGUUUAAUACACACCUCUCACAUACAAUUUUCUUUUCUUCUUGAGCAAAAAAUGGCAGCUUAAAAGACAAGUUCCCUGUGCUGGAAGGCUCCAGAAAAAUCACAUUUCGUACUGAAGGUCUCUCUGACUAAACUGCAUUGGGAGCAGAGUUAAAAUUCACUCCUCCCUCACAGCUCCAAUCUUGCUAUCUUGCCAUCAGUCUGCAUGAACCAAGCUACAGUGAUGUGGUGAGACAGAUUACUUAGGUUCACAUAUCCCUAAAGUGUGUGCCACACUAGAAAUGAAAUAAAUCCCUUCCAGGCUCACAAAGCUAAUACUUACUACACAUUGUACAUUAAUACCAUAAUAGAAAAGCAGUCCGAGUGAGACAGGUUGUUCCCUACCAAAUGUAAUGUUUCUAUAUGGUGGCCAAAACCACCUGACCUAAACUUGUUUCACCAUAUGCAUAGCAAUGGGACAUGAAAAAUUCUUCACAUAGAAGUACCUGAAAACUGAACUGCAGGUUCCCACAAAUUUCCCAUAAUUACCUCUUCAAAACAGUUGCAUGAAGAAUCGCUCGUUCUUAAGCUGACAGCCAAACAGGAAAGGGAUAUAGACAUAAAGGGACACAGACAAAACCAUGUUUCAAGUGUAAACAAAAAAACCCAUUAUUCUUCCAAUUAGAAACUAGUAACUAGGCAAGAGUGCCGACGAGUAAAAUGUCCCUUGAAACUGGAAGAAAGGAUAUAAAGUAGUUCUAGAAAAGAUGCAAAACUGAGAAUAGACUUGUUCCAGACAUCAACCCUAAAGACAGCAUUACCUUCAAACUCAAACUUACUGGAGCACUCUAGGCACACACACAUGCUGUGGUCAGUGUCCUACAAGGUGGUAGCAUUGGAAGCUUGAUCAGGAACAGGCUUUCCCAUCAGAUUAAAAAUCCAUGCUCCCAGCUCUUGUGAGCUUUGGGCAACUAACAUGCUCUAUGUCAGAAGACACAAUGACAACUAAACGUUCAGACCUCAUAUAAUUUGGAUGGAUAAUGGUACAAAUUUUUACAUGAUCCUGUACCAUUGGCAAUACCUUUGUAAUACUGGUUUGACUCUGCCCAGCAGGUGGGGCAGGUGACCAGCAGAAGAAUCUAUGCUGACAAAUUGCAUUGCAUCUAAUUUUCCUGGGGUGAACAUACUUUACCAGAGAACUACCCUGCUCCAGAGAAGCCUUCUGGGCCAAAAGUUCACCUGCUUGCAGGGAGAUGGAUCCUUCCACCAACUCUGCUGUGGGACAUCUGCUUUCCCACUGUGAAUAAUGUCUUCCGAGGAAGAGAUCCUGGCUCCACAAAAACAGGAAACAACUUUGCAACCAUCACAGUUGUGCAUAGGAUUUUGUCCUGAAAGUAUGGCUGGGGCACUGAAUGUGAUGACACCAGACAUCGCAAAGGAUGAGCCUGCUGGAGGGUGUAAGCAGCACAGCAGUGUACCAUAAAGUGAAACAGAGCAAUGUCGUGGUACAGCUACAUCACAAGACUUUUCAUGAUGCCAAAGUACAUAUCAAGGUGGUCAAAGGGCAUGGUUAAACUGUUGUCUGGUGCUGGUUGUAAUGUGUUUUUAAUCAAUUUCAACCCGUAAUUAAAAUUCACUUUAAAGAAAAUUACAGCAUCUUCAAUAUCAACAGUAUCUAUACCAAAUGCAUUCCACAGCUGUAUUCUGAACGUUACCUUAAUUAUAUUAGGAUGAACAGCACUGAAACAAUUAAAUAUUUCUGUUACAACAUUUUAUAAAACAGAGUAUUUUGUGCAAAGCAAAAAAAUCUUAAUAUGGUACAUAACUCAGGUGCAUUAGUUUCAGAGUGCAGCUCUGUACCCCAUUGCAUUAGAGGACAAAUGACAAGCCACACAUCCAAAGACUUUUGAAUUUUGAUACAACACACAUAGUGUCAUCUUCCACUAUUGUACAGCAUUAUGUACUUCAGAAAUAAAUCAAACAUAAACCUUCAAAUACACUAUGGCAAACUGUGCUGGAGAUACCAGUACAGUUCCAACUCAGAGAAGGUGAAGGAAUCUUGCUCUGAAAUAACGAAGCUGAUCGUUUUCUUGGUAAGACAUUUACCAGACUCCAAAUCAAAGACUUGGCAGAAAAGUUCUUGAAAAGAAAGUUACAUUGUAAGCCUGGCACUGACUUACACCCUUUCAAUUCACCUUCUUUGGUGACAGGCAUAAAAUUAAAGAUUCUCAGGUUUUUUGGGUUUUUUUUAAGGAAGGCAACCAUAACGCAUUUUUAAAUAUCAAUUCUGAUUUUUAGCUGCCCCAUCUCCCCAGCUUAUCUGACCACAUUUUGCUACAGGAUUAACCAUCAGUGCAAAACUUCUUACCUGCACAGACAUGAACAGUCACAGUAUCCAAGUUAAAAUCCACCACUGCCUCACAGUUCGUGUCACCCUUGUGUCAUCAUGGAUGCUGGGAGUAAACAAGACCUGAUCUAGCCCACACUUGGAUCAAACAAGGCUUCCAUAGGGAAAAAGGAUUGUUGCAACAGGAUGGGCAAACAAUCACAGAAGUCCUAGUAGUGAGUCAAAUUAGUACAUCCAGUUGCAUGUCCUUGCUACCUAAUAUGAAGCAUUGUUCCUCAUACAGCAGAUGCCAUGGGCUGCUGCAGAAGACUUAUGCCACAAGAUCAUCACUCUACAAAUUCCCUAACAGCACCUGGAGAGAUGCAAGUUUUUAAGCUAAAUCAGAAUAGAGUAGAAGAGGAGUUACAUAUGAGCCAUUUUUGUUCCAGCACCAGAAAGAGGCCUUCUUGCUGUUCACCUUCUUUUUAUUUUAUGUUUGAUACAGCUGAAUUUUCCAAAUGCCCUUGUGGUUAACCUUCUUUACAAAGUAUAAAUACCAUUCCAUUCUUAUACAAAAGAAAUACAGCUGUUUGUUAUGUACACACAUCUUGACAGCAAGUCAUUGAAAGAACAGUGCAACAUGAAAUUACAGAACCUACACCAACAGAGCACCUCUUCAGCUGCAGGCCAGGAAGUCCCUGCUGAGAAAGACAAUCUUUUAAGGUAAAAUGAUUUAACAUUUGAAUGGGAUAAUCAGAACUGUGUGAUGAUGUGCUGUCAUACCAUGAAUUAGUCAUAUUCUGGUUUACAAACUGUAGUUGCUGCAUUUCACUGAAGCCA
This is a long non-coding RNA of Catharus ustulatus (Swainson's thrush), 12278 nucleotides long. RefSeq lists it as uncharacterized. The record is from RefSeq and is a predicted model, not a curated record. NCBI's taxonomy places the organism in Eukaryota, Metazoa, Chordata, Aves, Passeriformes, Turdidae. The transcript has 5 exons.